GACAGUACCUCCAAAAGAAGCCCCGGCUAACUCUGUGCCAGCAGCCGCGGUAAUACAGGGGGGGCAAGCGUUGUCCGGAAUUACUGGGCGUACAGCGCGCGCAGGCGGUCCACUACGUGCCGUGUGACAGCCGUCGGCUUAACCGACGGAGGCCAGGGUACACGGGUGAACUUGAGGCAGAGAGAGGGAUGUGGAAUACCCGGUGGAGCGGUGAAAUGCGUAGAGAUCGGGUGGAACACCAGGGGCGAAGGCGGCAUCCUGGCUCUGUACUGACGCUGAGGCGCGAGAGCGUGGGGAGCAAACCGGAUUAGAUACCCGGGUAGUCCACGCCGUAAACGAUGUGUACCCGGCGCUGGGAAGUGAUUGCGCUUCUCGGUGCCCCAGCUUACGCGAUGAGUACACCGCCUGGGGACUACGGCCGCAAGGCUAAAACUCAAAGGAAUUGACGGGGGCCUGCACAAGCAGCGGAGCGUGUGGUUUAAUUCGACGCAACACGAAGAACCUUACCUAGAUUUGACAUGCACCUGCGAAUGACAGAAAUGUCAUUGCCUUCGAGGGUGGUGCACCGGUGCUGCAUGGCUGUCGUCAGCUCGUGUCGUGAGAUGUUGGGUUAAGUCCCGCAACGAGCGCAACCCUUGCCUGGUGUUACUUGUGUCACCAGGGACUGCCGUGGUCUAACCACGGAGGAAGGCGGGGAUGACGUCAAGUCCGCAUGGCCCGUACGUCUAGGGCUACACACACGCUACAAUGGUCGGAGUAGUGCGUUGCGACCUGGCAACAGGCAGCGAAUCGCCAAGACCGGCCUCAGUGCAGAUUGGGGGCUGCAACUCGCCCCCAUGAAGGCGGAGUUGCUAGUAACCGCGUGUCAGCAAAGCGCGGUGAAUACGUACCCGGGCCUUGUACACACCGCCCGUCACGUCAUGGGAGUCGGGAACACCUGAAGUCCGUGGGCCGACCUGUCAGUAAUGGUGGGAGGCAGCGGCCGAAGGUGGGCCUGGCGACUGGGACGAAGUCGUAACAAGGUAACCGUA
Molecule: ribosomal RNA, 1031 nt
Filed under: uncultured bacterium
Lineage: Bacteria
Description: bacterial SSU rRNA
Rfam family: Bacterial small subunit ribosomal RNA
Source: RNAcentral